This 308-nucleotide ribosomal RNA is filed under the name uncultured bacterium. RNAcentral's name for it is "partial 16S ribosomal RNA". It matches the Rfam family "Bacterial small subunit ribosomal RNA", at positions 505 to 809 of the family's 1533-position model. The record is from RNAcentral.
GAGACAGCAGCAGCCACGGUAAUACAGAGGGUGCGAGCGUUAAUCGGAUUUACUGGGCGUAAAGCGUGCGUAGGCGGCUUCUUAAGUCGGAUGUGAAAUCCCUGAGCUUAACUUAGGAAUUGCAUUCGAUACUGGGAAGCUAGAGUAUGGGAGAGGAUGGUAGAAUUCCAGGUGUAGCGGUGAAAUGCGUAGAGAUCUGGAGGAAUACCGAUGGCGAAGGCAGCCAUCUGGCCUAAUACUGACGCUGAGGUACGAAAGCAUGGGGAGCAAACAGGAUUAGAUACCCCGGUAGUCCCUGUCUCUUAUAA